RNAcentral lists this ribosomal RNA (1515 nucleotides) under metagenome. Its description in RNAcentral is "bacterial SSU rRNA". It matches the Rfam family "Bacterial small subunit ribosomal RNA". The record is from RNAcentral.
AGAGUUUGAUCCUGGCUCAGAACGAACGCUGGCGGCGUGGAUUAGGCAUGCAAGUCGAACGAGAAAGUUCCCUUCGGGGGACGAGUACAGUGGCAAACUGGUGAGUACAAGGUGGGCAACUUACCCUUUAGCGGGGGACAACUUCGGGAAACCGGAGCUAAUACCGCAUGUGGCCUUCGUGGCAAUGUUAUGAAGGUUAAAGGUGGCUUUCAAUUCGUUGGGAGCUGUCGCUAAAGGAGGGGCCCGCCCCCCAUUAGCUUGUUGGUGAGGUAACGGCUUACCAAGGCUACGAUGGGUAGCUGGCCUGAGAGGGUGGUCAGCCACACUGGGACUGAGAUACGGCCCAGACUCCUACGGGAGGCAGCAGUCUAGAGGCUUCCGCAAUGGGGGAAACCCUGACGGAGCGACGCCGCGUGUGUGAUGAAGGUUUUCGGAUCGUAAAGCACUGUUAGAUGGGAAGAAAUAGGAAUGAUGAAUAGUCAUUCUGAAAGACGGUACCAUCAGAGGAAGCUCCGGCCAACUCCGUGCCAGCAGCCGCGGUAAGACGGAGGGAGCAAGCGUUGUUCGGAUUUAUUGGGCGUAAAGCGCGCGUAGGCGGUAUGAUUAGUCUGGUGUGAAAGCCCCACUGCUCAACAGGGGGAGGUCAUCGGAAACUGUCAUACUUGAGUAGAGGAGAGGAAAAUGGAAUUCCAUGUGUAGCGGUGGAAUGCGGAGAUAUAUGGAAGAACACCGGUGGCGAAGGCGGUUUUCUGGCCUCAUACUGACGCUAAGGCGCGAAAGCCAGGGGAGCAAACGGGAUUAGAUACCCCGGUAGUCCUGGCCGUAAACGAUGGACACUAGGUGUGGGAGGUAUCGACCCCUUCUGUGCCGGAGCUAACGCGUUAAGUGUCCCGCCUGGGGAGUACGGCCGCAAGGCUAAAACUCAAAGGAAUUGACGGGGGCCCGCACAAGCGGUGGAGCAUGUGGUUUAAUUCGAUGCAACGCGAAGAACCUUACCGGGGUUCAAUUGCAGACGCAAGCCGUGGAGACACGGCCCUCUUCGGACGUCUGUAACGGUGCUGCAUGGCUGUCGUCAGCUCGUGUCGUGAGAUGUUGGGUUAAGUCCCGCAACGAGCGCAACCCUUGUCCUUAGUUGCCAGCGAGUAAUGUCGGGAACUCUAGGGAGACUGCCCCGGAUAACGGGGAGGAAGGUGGGGAUGACGUCAAGUCCUCAUGGCCUUUAUGCCCCGGGCUACACACGUGCUACAAUGGUUGGUACAAUGAGUCGCAAGACCGCGAGGUGGAGCUAAUCUCUAAAACCAGCCCCAGUUCGGAUUGGAGUCUGCAACUCGACUCCAUGAAGCUGGAAUCGCUAGUAAUCGCAGAUCAGAACGCUGCGGUGAAUACGUUCCCGGGCCUUGUACACACCGCCCGUCAAGCCACGAAAGUUGAUUGUACCAGAAGUCGGGUACGCAACCUUCGGGAGCAGCCUGCCGAAGGUAUGAUUGAUGAUUGGGGCUAAGUCGUAACAAGGUA